RNAcentral lists this ribosomal RNA (301 nucleotides) under uncultured bacterium. RNAcentral's name for it is "partial 16S ribosomal RNA". It matches the Rfam family "Bacterial small subunit ribosomal RNA", at positions 509 to 807 of the family's 1533-position model. The record is from RNAcentral.
CAGCCGCCGCGGUAAUACGAAGGGUGCAAGCGUUACUCGGAAUUACUGGGCGUAAAGCGUGCGUAGGUGGUGGUUUAAGUCCGUUGUGAAAGCCCUGGGCUCAACCUGGGAAUUGCAGUGGAUACUGGGUCACUAGAGUGUGGUAGAGGAUAGUGGAAUUUCCGGUGUAGCAGUGAAAUGCGUAGAGAUCGGAAGGAACAUCUGUGGCGAAGGCGACUAUCUGGGCCAACACUGACACUGAGGCACGAAGGCGUGGGGAGCAAACAGGAUUAGAUACCCCGGUAGUCCCUGUCUCUUAUAC